This 202-nucleotide ribosomal RNA is filed under the name uncultured soil bacterium. RNAcentral's name for it is "partial 16S ribosomal RNA". It matches the Rfam family "Bacterial small subunit ribosomal RNA", at positions 26 to 237 of the family's 1533-position model. The record is from RNAcentral.
AGCCUGAACGCUGGCGGCGGUGGCUAAGACAGGCAAGUCGCACGGGGUAGGCAAUACCCAGUGGCGAACGGGAGAGUAAUGAAUCGCUAAUGUACCCCGGACUCUGGGAUAGCUACCCGAAAGGGUAGGUAAUACCAGAUGACAUAACCUCGUCGCAUGACGGGGUUCUCAAAGGUCCGCCGGUCCGGGAGCAGGCGAUUUC